This 585-nucleotide long non-coding RNA is filed under the name Trifolium pratense (red clover). RNAcentral describes it as "long non-coding RNA (TPRA_LNC008181)". Lineage: Eukaryota; Viridiplantae; Streptophyta; Magnoliopsida; Fabales; Fabaceae. The record is from RNAcentral.
AACUUUAUGCUUGAUGUAGAAAAGCUUAAUUCUCAUCAAACUGAACUACUUCACGUUCAUGAUCAUAAUCAAAAAUACUUUCUUGUUAUCUCCUAAUUUUCCAUGAUUCGAAUUGCCUUUAAAUUGCCUACAGUCGAUACUUAUUUCUUUAACUAAAUGAAAAUAAGUAAAUUUAAUUGAAACACAAGUCCCCCAAAAAUUGGAGUAUUUGUACAGAACAAAAUAUACACAUGAACAAUGUCAUGUAUGCAACAAACAAUUGUGCUAAAGAUUGACGACUGGACUUUAAAAAAUAGAAAGAAUGCAUACACAGCCAUAUCGAUUACCCGAAAGUUAGAGUUCACGAGGAGAUUAAGAGUAUUAACCCAAGUAAUUACCGCAAGCAUAAAUUAUACAUAAUCCCAAAAAAUCAAACAUCUGAUACCACUUGUUGGAAUUAAUUUAAUAAUUUAAUCAUAUAACAUGCUCUCAAUAACAAAGAUUAAAACCAUAAUCUUACUUCAGUGCGGAAGACAAAUAAACAUAGGAGCAUGUAUCUUUAAACAGGAUCUACGACAUGUUGAUUUAUCAAGAUUAUAGUAAUAG